Molecule: ribosomal RNA, 320 nt
Filed under: uncultured eukaryote
Lineage: Eukaryota
Description: partial 18S ribosomal RNA
Rfam family: Eukaryotic small subunit ribosomal RNA
Source: RNAcentral
CCCCUAGAUGUUCUGGGCCGCACGCGCGCUACACUGAACAGUUCAACAAGUCUUAACCUUGGCCGAUAGGUCUGGGUAAUCUUUGAACGCUGUUCGUGAUUGGGAUAGACCUUUGCAAUUAUGGGUCUUCAACGAGGAAUUCCUAGUAAACGCCAGUCAUCAGCUUGCAUUGAUUACGUCCCUGCCCUUUGUACACACCGCCCGUCGCACCUACCGAUUGAAUGGUCCGGUGAAAUCUCGGGACGGCGGCUUGGUCGCUUGCGUCCGACUGCUGAAACUUGAUUAAACCAUAUCAUUUAGAGGAAGGUGAAGUCGUAACA